AAAGUCGUAACAAGGUAGCUGUAGGUGAACCUGCAGCUGGAUCAUUUUCCGAUGAUCAAAACCAACAACCCAAACCAAAACCCGUUGCGCGGUCACCCGUUGCAACACAACAACCCACAAAACAAAAAACAAAGUUUGCCGCUCGAACACGUGGUCUCUCUCUCCGCAGACAGACCCGCGCUUUUGGAGCACGGCUUUCACAACGUGUCGCGAUGGAUGACUUGGCUUCCUAUUUCGAUGAAGAACGCAGC
This 251-nucleotide unclassified non-coding RNA is filed under the name fungal sp. Its description in RNAcentral is "partial internal transcribed spacer region". The stretch from base 1 to 47 matches the Rfam family "Eukaryotic small subunit ribosomal RNA", at positions 1785 to 1831 of the family's 1831-position model. Lineage: Eukaryota; Fungi. The record is from RNAcentral.